Paramuricea clavata is the source of this 256-nucleotide non-coding RNA. The record is from the annotation of a GenBank genome assembly. NCBI's taxonomy places the organism in Eukaryota, Metazoa, Cnidaria, Anthozoa, Malacalcyonacea, Plexauridae.
CCAACAUGCUGCUAGGUUGAUAAGAUUUUAGAAAUUUUAUUUUUUAUUUAUUUUAUGAUUUUUUAUAAAUGGGGGCCCCAAAUAUAUAGUAGGAUAUAAUGACAAUAGAGAAUGUUUUGUAAUAGGUCAAAGAUUAUUGAUCAUUGAUCUAGUAUCUGCUGUUGUAAUAACAUGUAAUUAAGCGUCAUUCGUUGUAUAAUAACGUAAUUCAGUUAAUUGAAUUGUUGUAGUAAUAUAUUGAUUAGUUUUGUAAAGC